UGUAAAAGGCAAACUGGCCGUGAGGUCAGGACGCAAAACUAGAGGGUCUUUCUCUGCAUCGAUGCAUGGGAAAGACAGCCAGCUGCCA
Molecule: non-coding RNA, 88 nt
Filed under: uncultured Eubacterium sp.
Lineage: Bacteria; Bacillati; Bacillota; Clostridia; Eubacteriales; Eubacteriaceae
Description: Cyclic di-GMP-I riboswitch
Rfam family: c-di-GMP-I riboswitch aptamer
About the family: GEMM was predicted in a large-scale screen for bacterial structured RNA regulatory elements. Genes associated with GEMM are involved in a diverse array of functions, including chemotaxis regulation, signal transduction, secretion and chitin.
Source: RNAcentral